This 60-nucleotide transfer RNA is filed under the name Ampithoe lacertosa. RNAcentral's name for it is "tRNA-Asp". The record is from RNAcentral. Lineage: Eukaryota; Metazoa; Arthropoda; Malacostraca; Amphipoda; Ampithoidae.
GAAAAAUUAGUUAAAAAAUAAUAUUAGUUUGUCAAACUAAAGUUACCAAAGUAUUUUUCU